This is a non-coding RNA of Bombyx mori (domestic silkworm), 84 nucleotides long. The record is from Rfam. NCBI's taxonomy places the organism in Eukaryota, Metazoa, Arthropoda, Insecta, Lepidoptera, Bombycidae.
UUAAUUCAAAUUUGUAUGCAGUUGGAACGUUUGCGUACGUUUGCCGCUAAGGGCGCUGUUCCAACUGCAUACAAAUUCUAGUUA